GGCGGACGGGUGAGUAACACGUGGGAUUCUGCCCAUUAGUGGGGGAUAACUUCGGGGAAACUCGAGCUAAUACCGCAUAAUCCCUACGGGGAAAGCUGGGGAUCUUCGGACCUUGCGCUGAUGGAUGAGCCCGCGUCGGAUUAGCUUGUUGGUGGGGUAAUGGCCCACCAAGGCCGACGAUCCGUAACUGGUGUGAGAGGAUGGCCAGUCACACCGGGACUGAGACACGAGCCCGGACUCCUAAGGGAGGCAGCAGUGGGGAAUCUUGGCAAUGGGCGCAAGCCUGAUCCAGCCAUGCCGCGUGUGUGAAGAAGGCCUUCGGGUUGUAAAGCACUUUCAGUAGGCAGGAAGGCUUCGGGUUAAUACCCUGGAGUACUUGGUUACCUACAGAAGAAGCACCGGUAAUUUCGUGCCAGCUCAGCCGCGGUAAUACGAAAGGUGCGAGCGUUAAUCGGAAUUACUGGGCGUAAAGCGCGCGUAGGCGGUGUGUUAAGUCGGAUGUGAAAGCCCAGGGCUCAACCUUAGAAUUGCAUCCGAUACAUGGCACGCUAGAGUGCAGUAGAGGGAGGUGGAAUUUCCGGUGUAUGCGGUGAAAUGCGUAGAGAUCGGAAGGAACACCACGUGGCGAAGGCGGCCUC
RNAcentral lists this ribosomal RNA (638 nucleotides) under uncultured bacterium. RNAcentral describes it as "bacterial SSU rRNA". It matches the Rfam family "Bacterial small subunit ribosomal RNA", at positions 97 to 728 of the family's 1533-position model. The record is from RNAcentral.